UAGGGAAUCUUCCGCAAUGGGCGAAAGCCUGACGGAGCAACGCCGCGUGAGUGAUGAAGGUCUUCGGAUCGUAAACUCUGUUAUUAGGGAAGAACAAAUGUGUAAGUAACUAUGCACGUCUUGACGGUACCUAAUCAGAAAGCCACGGCUAACUACGUGCCAGCAGCCGCGGUAAUACGUAGGUGGCAAGCGUUAUCCGGAAUUAUUGGGCGUAAAGCGCGCGUAGGCGGUUUUUUAAGUCUGAUGUGAAAGCCCACGGCUCAACCGUGGAGGGUCAUUGGAAACUGGAAAACUUGAGUGCAGAAGAGGAAAGUGGAAUUCCAUGUGUAGCGGUGAAAUGCGCAGAGAUAUGGAGGAACACCAGUGGCGAAGGCGACUUUCUGGUCUGUAACUGACGCUGAUGUGCGAAAGCGUGGGGAUCAAACAGG
This 428-nucleotide ribosomal RNA is filed under the name Actinomycetes bacterium. Its description in RNAcentral is "Actinobacteria bacterium partial 16S ribosomal RNA". It matches the Rfam family "Bacterial small subunit ribosomal RNA", at positions 355 to 776 of the family's 1533-position model. Lineage: Bacteria; Bacillati; Actinomycetota; Actinomycetes. The record is from RNAcentral.